RNAcentral lists this ribosomal RNA (466 nucleotides) under uncultured bacterium. Its description in RNAcentral is "bacterial SSU rRNA". It matches the Rfam family "Bacterial small subunit ribosomal RNA", at positions 1 to 507 of the family's 1533-position model. The record is from RNAcentral.
AGUAGUUUGAUCCUGGCUCAGAACGAACGCUGGCGGCACGCCUAACACAUGCAAGUCGAACGGAAUUUAAGUCUUCGGAUUUAAAUUUAGUGGCGCACGGGUGCGUAACGCGUGGGAAUCUGCCCUUGGGUUCGGAAUAACAGUUAGAAAUGACUGCUAAUACCGGAUGAUGUCUUCGGACCAAAGAUUUAUCGCCCAGGGAUGAGCCCGCGUAGGAUUAGGUAGUUGGUGGGGUAAAGGCCUACCAAGCCGACGAUCCUUAGCUGGUCUGAGAGGAUGAUCAGCCACACUGGGACUGAGACACGGCCCAGACUCCUACGGGAGGCAGCAGUGGGGAAUAUUGGACAAUGGGCGCAAGCCUGAUCCAGCAAUGCCGCGUGAGUGAUGAAGGCCUUCGGGUCGUAAAGCUCUUUUACCCGGGAUGAUAAUGACAGUACCGGGAGAAUAAGCUCCGGCUAACUCCGUG